Oncorhynchus masou masou (cherry salmon) is the source of this 518-nucleotide long non-coding RNA. RefSeq lists it as uncharacterized. The record is from RefSeq and is a predicted model, not a curated record. NCBI's taxonomy places the organism in Eukaryota, Metazoa, Chordata, Actinopteri, Salmoniformes, Salmonidae. The transcript is spliced from 3 exons.
AGGCAGAGAGGCAGAGACAGACAGUGACAGGGCAAGCAGUCUGAUAGCUAACUAGCUAGGAGUGAAUGUAAAGGCAGGAACUUGGGAUGCACUGUUGGUUUUGUUGGUGGCUGUUAUUUGCUUGACAAAGUUGUCCAAAAUGAUAUCCGAUAAUAUUGUGUACUUCCUGCCACUUAAUGCAGACAUGUAUCAGUCCUCACAGUUUUGACCCGUGCGUGUUUCUGGACUCUGUACCUGCCUGCCCUAACCUCGAGCCCGCCUGCCACACUGUACCUACUGGACGCUGAACUGGUUUUGACCUUUUGCCUGUCCACGACCAUUCUCUUGCCGACCCCUUUUUGGAUCAAUAAACAAAGAGAGUCCAACCAUCUGCCUCCUGUGUCUGCAUCUGGGUCUCGCCUUGUGCCCUGAUAGACAAGUAGAGGAUUAUUGGGUUGUUUGCAUCUUAUUUUGAUUUACAGUCUUCGUGCAUGCUAGUCAUGCUUCGCUAAUCGUCUACCAUUGAGUCAAGAUGUACA